AGGGGUGUGUGUGUGUGUGUGUGUGUGAGUGUGUGUGUGUGUGUGUGUGUGUGUGUGUGUGUGUGUGUGUGUGUGUGUGUGUGUAUGUGUGCGUACGUGCGUGUGCGCGCAGACUUUUGACUGAAUAAGCAGAGGACUGUUACCUCAAGAGGACAUUCCAGAAGAUCUGUGGACCACCACCUGUGUGUUUGAGUCAUGUUCGGUCCUGAACACACACACACCAUGUUAGACACAAAGCAGUGUGUACUCAGACGAAGCAAUCCAACUCAAGGUUUUACAAACAUUCCAAUAAAUGCUGUUGUGAAUAUUCCAAGACAAAUGUGACAAGAUGAUGCCAUCAGAACAGUUCUAGUGCUGUUCCAAUACUGUUUAAGUGCCCUUAUUUUCUUCCCCUUAAGUCCAUAUCACCAGAAUUUUGUAGCAGUGUAGUUAAAGUGAUUUCUCUAACACUCUGUGUAGUUCAUUUUCAUCACAUUUAUGUGCAAACUGUCCUGCUGACUUUUUUAAUAUUUCUUUUGGGCGCUAGCAUGCGCAUGCCCUGGAUUUCAAGCUAACUAGCAGAAUUUAUGUUUAUCUGUUAUUGUUCAGCUUCACAUUUAGCUUCAUCCACCAAAUUUGUUCUUUUGCAAAGGAAAUUGUGUCAGACUGUAAUGGCUUUGGGGUAAAUUUUACAUACACAUGGGUCUCCCUCUAGUCUUCAUGGGCUUCACAUGACCUAAUAUAGAAGUGGAGCAGCUCUCAAAAUGGAAAGGGGAUUCCCUCAAGGGGAAGUGGAUAAUGGCGUGCUGAGAACAGUAUUGCAACACGCAUUUGCAAUGUCAUCGCCUUUCCCUGCAUCUACUCUUUUUAUUUAUGCAACUUUCUCAUGUCUGUCGAAGCAGGAAGGCAUUUUUCAAUUUCAGUGUCAAAAGCAGACAGCACCAUCACAUGAUAACAUUAUAGCUCCAAGGUACAUCCUUUUACAGUGUUCACUCAGGGUUUUAGCUUUUCUCGAACAUGCCUGUAAGCCUUGCUGAGUCACACUAUAUGAAAGACGAUCUGGGUUCGUGAAAUAUCUCUUAAUAUCUGAAGGAUUUUUGUAAACAUUUCACAAAGUACACACAGAGAGUACAUUCCUGUCGACCCUCAGAUACACUUCUGUGUCUGCCCUGGUGGCAGUCCGCACUGAAAAUGCUCCUCUGCACUACAAAUCCUAUGAUUGACUGAAUUUAUUGAUCGGCUUAGCUAUAAAAUUGUUUUGCGAAAAAUUGUGUGUUCCAAUUUUUUCCCCAAUAAAAUCUGCACCACUAAAA
Molecule: long non-coding RNA, 1292 nt
Organism: Tachysurus fulvidraco (yellow catfish)
Lineage: Eukaryota; Metazoa; Chordata; Actinopteri; Siluriformes; Bagridae
Exons: 2
Source: RefSeq, a predicted model, not a curated record